This 427-nucleotide long non-coding RNA is filed under the name Anas platyrhynchos platyrhynchos (common mallard). RNAcentral's name for it is "lncRNA (ENSAPLG00000024860.1)". The record is from RNAcentral. Lineage: Eukaryota; Metazoa; Chordata; Aves; Anseriformes; Anatidae.
UGUGAUCUCUGCAAAGUUUGGCAGAAUCUUACUGAGGUUUACAGAAAACUGAUAGUGCCUCCACAGCAAGAACUCAUCCAUUAAGUAUAGCAGAUGCCUUCAGCAGAGGACAUCUGCAGUGGAGAAAAUUAGACAUUUUCCUUUCAUCUGGAGCCAAGAAUAUACAUGUAUGAUUACUGCCUGCCUGUGCUGAAGGUUUGCUGAAUCAUGUGAUAGUCGUACUCCUGUGGAAAAGUCGGUGUAUAACCUUCCCUUCCUCCACUUCAUGGGAGACUCCAAGAAGUCAGUUGGGAUACGUGCAAAGCGUGUGGGCAAGUUAGGUCAUAUUCAGGGAUGAGGUAAGAUGUUUCGUAAUUUAUGCAUUGCUGAGUGGGUGUAAAUUAUGCUGAAUGGCUAGAUCCUGUGAUUUUCUGGUAGUUACUGUCCU